AUACGGGAGGCAGCAGUGGGGAAUCUUGCGCAAUGCGCGAAAGCGUGACGCAGCAACGCCGCGUGGGGGAAGAAGGCCUUCGGGUUGUAAACCCCUUUCAGUUGGGACGAAGCUUCGCCGGUGAAUAGCCGGCUGGAGUGACGGUACCUUCAGAAGAAGCCCCGGCUAACUACGUGCCAGCAGCCGCGGUAAUACGUAGGGGGCAAGCGUUGUCCGGAAUCAUUGGGCGUAAAGAGCGUGUAGGCGGCUCGGUAAGUCCGCUGUGAAAGUCCAGGGCUCAACCCUGGAAUGCCGGUGGAAACUGUCGAGCUAGAGUCCGGAAGAGGCGAGUGGAAUUCCUGGUGUAGCGGUGAAAUGCGCAGAUAUCAGGAGGAACACCAAUGGCGAAGGCAGCUCGCUGGGACGGUACUGACGCUGAGACGCGAAAGCGUGGGGAGCAAACAGGAUUAGAUACCCCGGUAGA
RNAcentral lists this ribosomal RNA (463 nucleotides) under uncultured bacterium. RNAcentral's name for it is "bacterial SSU rRNA". It matches the Rfam family "Bacterial small subunit ribosomal RNA", at positions 339 to 794 of the family's 1533-position model. The record is from RNAcentral.